RNAcentral lists this ribosomal RNA (244 nucleotides) under uncultured Actinomycetales bacterium. RNAcentral's name for it is "partial 16S ribosomal RNA". It matches the Rfam family "Bacterial small subunit ribosomal RNA", at positions 88 to 334 of the family's 1533-position model. The record is from RNAcentral. Lineage: Bacteria; Bacillati; Actinomycetota; Actinomycetes; Actinomycetales.
UGCUCGAGUGGCGAACGGGUGAGUAACACGUGAGUAACCUGCCCUUGACUUUGGGAUAACUUCAGGAAACUGGGGCUAAUACCGGAUAGGAGCUCCUGCUGCAUGGUGGGGGUUGGAAAGUUUCGGCGGUUGGGGAUGGACUCGCGGCUUAUCAGCUUGUUGGUGGGGUAGUGGCUUACCAAGGCUUGACGGGUAGCCGGCCUGAGAGGGUGACCGGCCACAUUGGGACUGAGAUACGGCCCAG